RNAcentral lists this long non-coding RNA (902 nucleotides) under Pongo abelii (Sumatran orangutan). RNAcentral's name for it is "lincRNA". The stretch from base 224 to 307 matches the Rfam family "mir-22 microRNA precursor family". Lineage: Eukaryota; Metazoa; Chordata; Mammalia; Primates; Hominidae. The record is from RNAcentral.
GAAGAGACAGCGCCGCCGGCCGUGGGGAGCGGACGCAGCGAUUUGCUCCCCUUCGCGCAGCAACCCCCACACCCAGCACCAGGCCCCCAGAACUCUCCUUCCAGCUGAACUCUCUGAGAACAAGUCAGUUGGGCUGAUCACUGAACUCACAUUUCUGGACCUGAGAUCUUUCCCAUUUUCCCUCCCUUUCCCUUAGGAGCCUGUUCCUCUCACACCCUCACCUGGCUGAGCCGCAGUAGUUCUUCAGUGGCAAGCUUUAUGUCCUGACCCAGCUAAAGCUGCCAGUUGAAGAACUGUUGCCCUCUGCCCCUGGCUUCGAGGAGGAGGAGGAGCUGCUUUCCCCAUCAUCUGGAAGCGGCUACAGGAAGCUGUGUCUGUUCGAUUUGGUGGGAGGAGAUGUGCAGGGAGCUGUAUCUUAUCCUCCGCUUGUGAAAAACUCAAGGAUGUGGAGAAGAGUAGACCGUGGAACCCUGCCCUUCUGCAACCAAGCUGAGGGGCAGGAUGCGUAUGGGACAGUGGUAGAGAAGCAGGGGAUAGACGCAUAGGCUGCAACAAAGGUCACUCUGUCCCUGGACACUGCCUCCGUACUUUCUCCUUCUUGCUUCACUGGCCACAGCAUCUCCCUCCAGCCCUCACUAUGUGCCUCUGCCAUCUUCACCCAUCAUGGAGCAGAGGUGAGGAAAGGCAGCCUGGGAAUGUGGAGACCAGUGAAGGACCAGGCCUGGAAAGCACAGGGUCCUACCUGGGCAUCCAGCAGAGGAGCCCCUAAAGGCCAGGAGCAACCCAAGAGGAGGGAGGACAGCCAGCCUCCAUCGACGGCGAGCCUCCAGCCCUCUCCUACUUUGAUCACCAUUUCUCUCCAGGCUUUCUGCCUCCGAGAUGUGGCACCAUAGUGCAGUGCC